AUACGUAGGUGACAAGCGUUAUCCGGAUUUACUGGGCGUAAAGGGCGUGUAGGCGGUCUUGCAAGUCAGAAGUGAAAUUCCAGAGCUCAACUCGGGCGCUGCUUCUGAAACUGCAGGACUUGAGUGCUGGAGGGGAUAGCGGAAUUCCUAGUGGAGCGGUAAAAUGCGCAGAUAUUAGGAAGAACACCGGUGGCGAAGGCGGCUAUCUGGACAGUAACUGACGCUGAGGCGCGAAAGCGUGGGGAGCAAACAGGAUUAGAUACCCUGGUAGUCCACACUGUAAACGAUGAAUGCUAGGUGUAGGGGGUAUCGACCCCUUCUGUGCCGCAGUCAACACAAUAAGCAUUCCGCCUGGGGAGUACGGCCGCAAGGUUGAAACUCAAAUGAAUUGACGGGG
Molecule: ribosomal RNA, 397 nt
Filed under: uncultured bacterium
Lineage: Bacteria
Description: partial 16S ribosomal RNA
Rfam family: Bacterial small subunit ribosomal RNA
Source: RNAcentral